This 291-nucleotide ribosomal RNA is filed under the name uncultured prokaryote. RNAcentral describes it as "partial 16S ribosomal RNA". It matches the Rfam family "Archaeal small subunit ribosomal RNA", at positions 455 to 747 of the family's 1478-position model. The record is from RNAcentral.
GUGUCAGCCGCCGCGGUAAAACCAGCACUCAAGUGGUCAGGAUGAUUAUUGGGCCUAAAGCAUCCGUAGCCGGCUCUGUAAGUUUUCGGUUAAAUCUGUACGCUUAACGUACAGGCUGCCGGGAAUACUGCAGAGCUAGGGAGUGGGAGAGGUAGACGGUACUCGGGAGGAAGUGGUAAAAUGCUCUGAUCUCUCGAUGACCACCUGUGGCGAAGGCGGUCUACCAGAACACGUCCGACGGUGAGGGAUGAAAGCUGGGGGAGCAAACCGGAUUAGAUACCCGGGUAGUCC